RNAcentral lists this transfer RNA (83 nucleotides) under Nanobdellota archaeon. RNAcentral's name for it is "tRNA-Ser". It matches the Rfam family "tRNA". Rfam says of the family: Transfer RNA (tRNA) molecules are approximately 80 nucleotides in length. Their secondary structure includes four short double-helical elements and three loops (D, anti-codon, and T loops). Further hydrogen bonds mediate the characteristic L-shaped molecular structure. tRNAs have two regions of fundamental functional importance: the anti-codon, which is responsible for specific mRNA codon recognition, and the 3' end, to which the tRNAs corresponding amino acid is attached (by aminoacyl-tRNA synthetases). tRNAs cope with the degeneracy of the genetic code in two manners: having more than one tRNA (with a specific anti-codon) for a particular amino acid; and 'wobble' base-pairing, i.e. permitting non-standard base-pairing at the 3rd anti-codon position. Lineage: Archaea; Nanobdellati; Nanobdellota. The record is from RNAcentral.
GCCGAGAUCGCAUAAUCUGGUAUUGCACUAGCCUGCUAAGCUAGACCCUUCGGGGUAUCUGGGUUCAAAUCCCAGUCUCGGCG